AUGCCUCAGUAACGGCGAAGUGAAGCGGCAAAAGCUCAAAUUUGAAAUCUGGCUCCAUGCGGAGCCCGAGUUGUAAUUGGAGAGGACACUUCGGGUGCGGCCACGGCAUAAGUUCCUUGGAACAGGACGUCAUAGAGGGUGAGAAUCCCGUCUUUGGCUGCUGGACCGCGCCCAUGCGAAGUUCCUUCGACGAGUCGAGUUGUUUGGGAAUGCAGCUCUAAGUGGGUGGUAAAUUUCAUCUAAAGCUAAAUAUUGGCCGGAGACCGAUAGCGCACAAGUAGAGUGAUCGAAAGGUUAAAAGCACCUUGAAAAGGGAGUUAAAUAGCACGUGAAAUUGUUGAAAGGGAAGCGCUUGCAACCAGACUCGGUCGUGGGGGCUCAGCGGGCAUGCGUGCCUGUGUACUCCCCCAUGCUCCGGGCCAGCAUCAGUUCUGGCGGUUGGUUAAAGGCCUCUGGAAUGUAUCGUCCUCCGGGACGUCUUAUAGCCAGGGGCGCAAUGCGGCCAGCCGGGACUGAGGAACGCGCUUCGGCACGGAUGCUGGCAUAAUGGUUGUAAGCGGCCCGUCUUGAAACACGGACCAAGGAGUCUAACAUCCACGCGAGUGUUCGGGUGUCAAACCCGUGCGCGCAGUGAAAGCGAACGGAGGUGGGAGCCCGCAAGGGUGCACCAUCGACCGAUCCUGAAGUCUUCGGAUGGAUUUGAGUAAGAGCGUGGCUGUUGGGACCCGAAAGAUGGUGAACUAUGCCUGAAUAGGGUGAAGCCAGAGGGAAACUCUGGUGGAGGCUCGCAGCGGUUCUGACGUGCAAAUCGAUCGUCAAAUUUGGGUAAUAGGGCGAAAGACUAAUCGA
Molecule: ribosomal RNA, 849 nt
Filed under: Coccidioides immitis
Lineage: Eukaryota; Fungi; Ascomycota; Eurotiomycetes; Onygenales; Onygenaceae
Description: LSU rRNA
Rfam family: Eukaryotic large subunit ribosomal RNA
Source: RNAcentral